GACGAACGCUGGCGGCGUGCUUAACACAUGCAAGUCGAACGGAAAGGCCCUGCUUUUGUGGGGUGCUCGAGUGGCGAACGGGUGAGUAACACGUGAGUAACCUGCCCUUGCCUUUGGGAUAACUUCAGGAAACUGGGGCUAAUACCGGAUAGGAGCUCCUGCUGCAUGGUGGGGGUUGGAAAGUUUCGGCGGUUGGGGAUGGACUCGCGGCUUAUCAGCUUGUUGGUGGGGUAGUGGCUUACCAAGGCUUUGACGGGUAGCCGGCCUGAGAGGGUGACCGGCCACAUUGGGACUGAGAGACGCGCCAGACUACUACGGAAGGCAGCAGUGGGGAAUAUUUCCCAAUGGGCGGGAUCCUGAAGCAGCAUCGCCGGGUUCAGGAUGAUGGCCUUCGUGAUGGAAACCGCUUUCGCCUGUGACGAAGCGUGAGGAACGCUAAUGAAUAGAUAGGCACCGACGAAAUACCGG
This 468-nucleotide ribosomal RNA is filed under the name uncultured bacterium. Its description in RNAcentral is "partial 16S ribosomal RNA". It matches the Rfam family "Bacterial small subunit ribosomal RNA", at positions 28 to 496 of the family's 1533-position model. The record is from RNAcentral.